RNAcentral lists this ribosomal RNA (603 nucleotides) under Hanseniaspora opuntiae. RNAcentral's name for it is "eukaryotic LSU rRNA". It matches the Rfam family "Eukaryotic large subunit ribosomal RNA", at positions 38 to 655 of the family's 3401-position model. The record is from RNAcentral. Lineage: Eukaryota; Fungi; Ascomycota; Saccharomycetes; Saccharomycodales; Saccharomycodaceae.
GCAUAUCAAUAAGCGGAGGAAAAGAAACCAACUGGGAUUACCUUAGUAACGGCGAGUGAAGCGGUAAAAGCUCAAAUUUGAAAUCUGGUACUUUCAGUGCCCGAGUUGUAAUUUGUAGAAUUUGUCUUUGAUUAGGUCCUUGUCUAUGUUCCUUGGAACAGGACGUCAUAGAGGGUGAGAAUCCCGUUUGGCGAGGAUACCUUUUCUCUGUAAGACUUUUUCGAAGAGUCGAGUUGUUUGGGAAUGCAGCUCAAAGUGGGUGGUAAAUUCCAUCUAAAGCUAAAUAUUGGCGAGAGACCGAUAGCGAACAAGUACAGUGAUGGAAAGAUGAAAAGAACUUUGAAAAGAGAGUGAAAAAGUACGUGAAAUUGUUGAAAGGGAAGGGCAUUUGAUCAGACAUGGUGUUUUUUGCAUGCACUCGCCUCUCGUGGGCUUGGGCCUCUCAAAAAUUUCACUGGGCCAACAUCAAUUCUGGCAGYAGGAUAAAUCAUUAAGAAUGUAGCUACCUCGGUAGUGUUAUAGCUUAUUGGAAUACUGCUAGCUGGGAUUGAGGACUGCGCUUCGGCAAGGAUGUUGGCAUAAUGGUUAAAUGCCGCCCGUCUU